GUGCCAGCAGCCGCGGUAAUACGUAGGCAGCAAGCGUUGUUCGGAGUUACUGGGCGUAAAGAGUAUGUAGGCGGUUUGCCAAGUCCGGCGUGAAAUCUCCCGGCUCAACUGGGAGGGUGCGCCGGAUACUGGUAGGCUAGAGUGCGGGAGAGGAGAGCGGAAUUCCUGGUGUAGCGGUGAAAUGCGUAGAUAUCAGGAGGAACACCUGCGGUGUAGACGGCUCUCUGGACCGCCACUGACGCUGAGAUACGAAAGCGUGGGUAGCAAACAGGAUUAGAUACCCUCGUAGUCC
RNAcentral lists this ribosomal RNA (292 nucleotides) under uncultured bacterium. Its description in RNAcentral is "partial 16S ribosomal RNA". It matches the Rfam family "Bacterial small subunit ribosomal RNA", at positions 505 to 796 of the family's 1533-position model. The record is from RNAcentral.